Molecule: non-coding RNA, 30 nt
Filed under: Mus musculus (house mouse)
Lineage: Eukaryota; Metazoa; Chordata; Mammalia; Rodentia; Muridae
Source: RNAcentral
UAGAUUAGGUAAGACUCUUGCUAUCUCUGC